GACGAACGCUGGCGGCGUGCUUAACACAUGCAAGUCGAACGGAAAGGCCCUGCUUUUGUGGGGUGCUCGAGUGGCGAACGGGUGAGUAACACGUGAGUAACCUGCCCUUGACUUUGGGAUAACUUCAGGAAACUGGGGCUAAUACCGGAUAGGAGCUCCUGCUGCAUGGUGGGGGUUGGAAAGUUUCGGCGGUUGGGGAUGGACUCGCGGCUUAUCAGCUUGUUGGUGGGGUAGUGGCUUACCAAGGCUUUGACGGGUAGCCGGCCUGAGAGGGUGACCGGCCACAUUGGAACUGAGAUACGGCCCAGACUCCUACGGGAGGCAGCAGUGGGGAAUAUUGCACAAUGGGCGGAAGCCUGAUGCAGCAACGCCGCGUGCGGGAUGACGGCCUUCGGGUUGUAAACCGCUUUCGCCUGUGACGAAGCGUGAGUGACGGUAAUGGGUAAAGAAGCACCGGCCAACUACGUG
Molecule: ribosomal RNA, 468 nt
Filed under: uncultured bacterium
Lineage: Bacteria
Description: partial 16S ribosomal RNA
Rfam family: Bacterial small subunit ribosomal RNA
Source: RNAcentral